Molecule: ribosomal RNA, 497 nt
Filed under: uncultured bacterium
Lineage: Bacteria
Description: partial 16S ribosomal RNA
Rfam family: Bacterial small subunit ribosomal RNA
Source: RNAcentral
GACGAGCGCUGGCGGCGUGCCUAAUACAUGCAAGUAGAACGCUGAAGAGAGGAGCUUACUCUUCUUGGAUGAGUUGCGAACGGGUGAGUAACGCGUAGGUAACCUGCCUUGUAGCGGGGGAUAACUAUUGGAAACGAUAGCUAAUACCGCAUAACAAUGGAUGACACAUGUCAUUUAUUUGAAAGGGGCAAUUGCUCCACUACAAGAUGGACCUGCGUUGUAUUAGCUAGUAGGUGAGGUAAUGGCUCACCUAGGCGACGAUACAUAGCCGACCUGAGAGGGUGAUCGGCCACACUGGGACUGAGACACGGCCCAGACUCCUACGGGAGGCAGCAGUAGGGAAUCUUCGGCAAUGGGGGCAACCCUGACCGAGCAACGCCGCGUGAGUGAAGAAGGUUUUCGGAUCGUAAAGCUCUGUUGUAAGUCAAGAACGGGUGUGAGAGUGGAAAGUUCACACUGUGACGGUAGCUUACCAGAAAGGGACGGCUAACUACGUG